UACUCUUGCUUUUGCAGAUGU
Non-coding RNA from Caenorhabditis elegans, 21 nucleotides. The record is from Ensembl. Lineage: Eukaryota; Metazoa; Nematoda; Chromadorea; Rhabditida; Rhabditidae.